Molecule: long non-coding RNA, 768 nt
Organism: Oncorhynchus gorbuscha (pink salmon)
Lineage: Eukaryota; Metazoa; Chordata; Actinopteri; Salmoniformes; Salmonidae
Exons: 3
Source: RefSeq, a predicted model, not a curated record
GGUAUAGUCACCCUUCAGAUAUAUGCUGUUCACCAGGUUACCAUACAGGUAUAUUCACCCUUCAGAUAGAUGCUGUUCACCAGGUUACCAUACAGGUAUAUUCACCCUUCAGAUAGAUGCUGUUCACCAGGUUACCCUACAGGUAUAUUCACCCUUCAGAUAGAUGCUGUUCACCAGGUUACCAUACAGGUAUAUUAGAUAGAUAGAUGCUGUUCACCAGGUUACCCUACAGGUACAUUAGAUAGAUGCUGUACACCAGGUUACCAUACAGGUACAUUCACCCUUCAGAUAGAUGCUGUUCACCAGGUUACCAUACAGGUACAUUCACCCUUCAGAUAGAUGCUGUUCACCAGGUUACCAUACAGGUACAUUCACCCUUCAGAUAGAUGCUGUUCACCAGGUUACCAUACAGGUACAUUCACCCUUCAGAUAGAUGCUGUUCACCAGGUUACCAUACAGGUACAUUCACCCUUCAGAUAGAUGCUGUUCACCAGGUUACCAUACAGGUACAUUCACCCUUCAGAUAGAUGCUGUUCACCAGGUUACCAUACAGGUACAUUCACCCUUCAGAUAGAUGCUGUUCACCAGGUUACCAUACAGGUACAUUCACCCUUCAGAUAGAUGCUGUUCACCAGGUUACCCUACAGGUACAUUAGAAAGAUGCUGUACACCAGGUUACCCUACAGGUACAUUCACCCUUCAGAUAGAUGCUGUUCACCAGGUUACCAUACAGGUACAUUCACCCUUCAGAUAGAUGCUGUUCACCAG